CAUCAUGGUUUGACUAUAAUCCAAACAAGAAUGUGGAAAAGGAUUCUUUGCCAGUGCAAUUGUGCUUUGAUUAUCUUCAUAGAUCACAGGAAAUGAGAGGACCAUUUUUACAGAGACUAAUACAAUAACCAGAGAUAUUUCAGUACAUGCUUUAAAGUUGUCCACUGCUCUUC
Long non-coding RNA from Oryzias melastigma (Indian medaka), 173 nucleotides. RefSeq lists it as uncharacterized. NCBI's taxonomy places the organism in Eukaryota, Metazoa, Chordata, Actinopteri, Beloniformes, Adrianichthyidae. The transcript is spliced from 4 exons. The record is from RefSeq and is a predicted model, not a curated record.